CCCGGGGUAGCUCAGCCUGGUAGAUGUUGAAGCCAAUAGCUUCCGGCUGUAGACCGGAGUGUCGCAGGUUCAAAUCCUGCCCCCGGGACCA
Molecule: transfer RNA, 91 nt
Filed under: Aigarchaeota archaeon
Lineage: Archaea; Thermoproteati; Nitrososphaerota
Description: tRNA-Tyr
Rfam family: tRNA
About the family: Transfer RNA (tRNA) molecules are approximately 80 nucleotides in length.
Source: RNAcentral